RNAcentral lists this ribosomal RNA (1280 nucleotides) under metagenome. RNAcentral describes it as "bacterial LSU rRNA". It matches the Rfam family "Bacterial large subunit ribosomal RNA", at positions 1666 to 2925 of the family's 2925-position model. The record is from RNAcentral.
CCAAAGUAGAGAAUACUAAGGUGAUCGAGAUAACCCUCGUUAAGGAACUCGGCAAAAUUGCUCCGUAACUUCGGGAUAAGGAGCGCCCCAGUAGGGUGAAGCGGCUUGCCCGCUCAGCCCGAGGGGGCCGCAGUGAAUUGGCCCAAGCGACUGUUUACCAAAAACACAGGUCUCUGCUAAGUCGAAAGACGACGUAUAGGGGCUGACGCCUGCCCGGUGCCGGAAGGUUACGUGGAGUUGUCAGGGCUUCGGCCUAAAGCAGCGAAGCUAAGCCCCGGUAAACGGCGGCCGUAACGAUAACGGUCCUAAGGUAGCGAAAUUCCUUGUCGGGUAAGUUCCGACCUGCACGAAUGGCGUAACGACUUGGGCGCUGUCUCAACGAGGGGCUCGGUGAAAUUGCAGUCUCAGUGAAGAUGCCGAGUACCCGCGGCUAGACGGAAAGACCCCGUGCACCUUUACUAUAACCUGAUAUUGGAAUGCGGUGCAUCUCGCUCAGGAUAGGUGGGAGGCUUUGAAGCAUCGGCUGCGGCUGGUGUGGAGUCAACCUUGAGAUACCACCCUUGAUGUAUUGUGUUUCUAACAGUGCGCCGUGAAUCCGGGCGCUGGACAGUGUCAGGCGGGUAGUUUGACUGGGGCGGUCGCCUCCCAAAAUGUAACGGAGGCGCACAAAGGUUCCCUCAGUACGGUUGGAAAUCGUACGCAGAGUGCAAAGGCAACAAGGGAGCUUGACUGCGAGACUGACAAGUCGAGCAGGAGCGAAAGCUGGUCUUAGUGAUCCGGCAGUGGCAAGUGGAAGCGCUGUCGCUCAACGGACAAAAGGUACGCCGGGGAUAACAGGCUUAUCGGGCCCAAGAGUCCACAUCGACGGCCCGGUUUGGCACCUCGAUGUCGGCUCGUCGCAUCCUGGGGCUGUAGUAGGUCCCAAGGGUUGGGCUGUUCGCCCAUUAAAGCGGUACGCGAGCUGGGUUCAGAACGUCGUGAGACAGUUCGGUCCCUAUCUGCCGUGGGCGUUGGAGAGUUGAGAGGAGUUGUCCCUAGUACGAGAGGACCGGGAUGAACGCACCUCUGGUGUAUCUGUUGUCCUGCCAAGGGCAUAGCAGGUUAGCUACGUGCGGAUUGGAUAACCGCUGAAGGCAUCUAAGCGGGAAGCCAACCUCGAGAUGAACUCUCCCAUCCCCAUGAGGGAGUAAGACCCCUGGUAGACCACCAGGUUGAUAGGCCGGAUCUGGACGCACAGCAAUGUGUGAAGGAGACCGGUACUAAUGGGUCGAGGGCUUGAC